AAGAUGAAGCUGAUUCUGACACUCUCCAUUAACUGGGCUCUUCUCCUCACAGUGGAAUCGUUGCUGUGUUUUGAAUGUGAACCACCAUGCACAAAUGAAGUUUUAACCAUCUGCCAAUAUCACUCAGACUCAGUAUGUCUGACACAUACCCUGUUCGUUGGUAGAACAAUUACAAAGGGAAAGUACUGCUCACAAUCGGUGGAGUGCAGAACACGUCUGAACGUUCAGCUGGAUUAUUCACUGAACUUCGGUGUCGAUCCGAUGUCUGAAUCUGUGCUCUGCUGUGACUCAGAUCGCUGCAACAAACAGACUCUACCUGUCCCCAGUCAAGAUCCAAACGGCCUACAGUGUGAUUCCUGCAGUAGCUACUCAGACACUGUGUGUAACACCCCGGCAAACUGUGUCGGACUGGAGGAUACAUGUGCUGUGAUCAAUGCAAGCACGGUUUUCUUCAAGGGCUGUAUAUCCUCAAAUCUGUGCAGUGCGUCUCUGAUGGCCACUUUUGUGCCUUCUGCAACUUAAGAUGGAAUUUCCUGCAGUCGUGUGAAGAAUAUCGCAGCCAGCACUACCAGUGUGCUGAAUAUCAUAUUCCCCACUGCUGGGACAGGUGGAAAGUAACAAAAUACAUUUACUCACGUUACUGAGUAGGCUAGUUUAGUUGUGUAUUUUGUAUUUUUCAAGUAGUUUUUUUUUAAUCAGUCAUUUAAAAUGUACUUGAUUACGUUUUGAGUGAGGUAUUGUAUUUCUCUACAUUAGAAAUCCCAUCCGUUGAGUAAAAAUAUGUUGUUCUGGAUUACCGUUUACUGCAAAGUGAUCAAGGAUGAACGCAACAAACUUUCAACAAAAAAUAAACUGCUGCUCAAAUUUAACAAUAAAUUUGUAGACUAGUCCUCUUAAAGGAGAAAUCUGCCG
Molecule: long non-coding RNA, 912 nt
Organism: Osmerus eperlanus (European smelt)
Lineage: Eukaryota; Metazoa; Chordata; Actinopteri; Osmeriformes; Osmeridae
Exons: 5
Source: RefSeq, a predicted model, not a curated record